UUGGGCGGGGAUUCAACAGGUAUGCCUCCCCUAUAGUACAUUUUUAACAUUUUCAUCUCUGGUAGGCUUGCAUAUGAAAAUGCCGAAACGUCACACCCAAGCAUAUCGACUUGAAAUUUAAAGCAACUACCUAAACUACAUACAAGACAUAAAGACAAGAUAAAUUGGGGCUAAUCGGAGCAUACGGCCAUAGGUAAACACACCUUGGACAAGUAUGUCCGUUACACUAGGCCUCCAAUCACCCAAGUUUACCAAAGGAGGGGUAAAAAUAAAAAUUCCACCUAGACAACAUGGUUGUUAGGAUGACCAGUGGUCCUAACAACACGUGGCAGCAGCAGAAAGGGAAUAUAUAUAUAGGCGUUUUUUGCUAGGGCUGAUUAUCUUGGUUAUUAUGUAUUUUGAAUGAACGUUGUUCAUUGGGGAGAGAGCAGCCCUCUUACUUGGUUGAAGCUUAUGAUUCCAUAUUGAAUAUAUAUACACACAUAUAUCAGCUUCUCUCCAUUGUACUGUGUGUUUGUGAGUGUGCUGGAAAUAUUCUUUGUAUUUGUGUGGGUGUGGGUUGAAUCUUUUGCAGGUGAAACAAGAACCUACCAGGGGGGACCACUUUGGUAGGGCCGGGAGUUAGAGGAAAGAGAUAAAAGAAAGGAAGCUACAGAGGGAGGGGGUAUGGAACUUUGAGGAAGGAAAUCUACAUUACUCCUUGAGAGAGGGAAAGCAGAGGGUCCAAGUUCAUCUUUGAAUUGUUCUUGAGUCUUUUAUUUGGUUGCUAUUAGUUUGAGUAAUUUUUGCUUUGAAUCUGUAAUCGCGAUCAAUACUCUAUUGAUCCACGAAGAGUCUCAAUAAUUCGUGUAAGUUUUCAUAUUAUAUCAACAUAUACGAACACUGCUGUGGUGUUCUAUCAUAAUUCUGAGAUACUGAGCUUCGUUUAAGAUCCUUCACUGUGGCCAAACCGAGUUUGUGAGUUGAACCUUUCAUGUAUUUAUGAGAAAUGUUUCUCUAUCUAUUUGAAGUCUGUUUGAUGGAGCAUUUGGUUGGGAAGAGAUGACUAACUUUUAGUGGAAAGGCGAAGGACUGGUGAAGCCCUGAAGGGGUGUUGAAGUUGGCUAAAGUUUAUGUGUUGAAUUGAAUUUCUUUAAGAGAGUGGGUUUUUUUUUUUUUUUUUUGUAGCUUGAUUUUUAAAUUUGAAUUAUGUUUAUUAUACUAUAAUUAUUUAUAAACCCUAAACCCUAAUAGCAUUUUAGUAUCACGAAGUUGGAUUAUUUUGUUGCAGAUGGAAUUUGUGUCUAGAGCAUUGAGCAUCCUGGUUGCGUUUGGGAUGCCAAGUUUUUGGAAAAUGGAGAUAUUGUCACAGCUUGUUUAGAUGGAGUAGUACGUGUCUGGACGGCAGAACAGGAAAGAAUUGCUGAUCCCCAAGAAUUGGAGUUAUUUGCUUCAAGACUGUCUCAGUAUAAGUUGAAGAGGUGCCCCACAACAGCUGCCACACACACACACACACACUCACAAAGAGGAAGUUCCAAAAUCCUUUGGAAGAGGGUUGGAGGAUUGAAAUUGGAAGAAUUACCUGGGAUGGAUGCUUUACAAAUUCCAGGUCUGGUUACACUAUUCCAUUUUAAUAAGAAGCCAAGAUGCUAUCCGCUUCUAUACCUUUUUCCUUUUACCCCUUAAUUUCAUGAAUCUUUGUUGCAAAGUGGAUGGGUGGCAAGGUUUUCUUUUUCUUGAUAUUUGUGAGAUUCUAGGCCAGCUCACACACCCUCGACUAAUCUCACGGGAUAAUCCGCUUGACCCUACAACAUUUGGGUGUUAAGGAAACUCAUAGGAAAUUAAUUUACAGCUGCCACACACACUCACUCACAAAGAGGAAGUUCCAAAAUCCUUUUGUUCA
Molecule: long non-coding RNA, 1882 nt
Organism: Cucumis sativus (cucumber)
Lineage: Eukaryota; Viridiplantae; Streptophyta; Magnoliopsida; Cucurbitales; Cucurbitaceae
Exons: 2
Source: RefSeq, a predicted model, not a curated record